GCCAGCGUGGUUUAGUGGUUUGAGUGUUGGUCUAUGACUCUGGACACCAGGGUUCAAAUCCCUGCUCAAGUA
RNAcentral lists this transfer RNA (72 nucleotides) under Phrynosoma platyrhinos (Desert horned lizard). RNAcentral describes it as "tRNA-OTHER". It matches the Rfam family "tRNA". From Rfam's summary of the family: Transfer RNA (tRNA) molecules are approximately 80 nucleotides in length. Their secondary structure includes four short double-helical elements and three loops (D, anti-codon, and T loops). Lineage: Eukaryota; Metazoa; Chordata; Lepidosauria; Squamata; Phrynosomatidae. The record is from RNAcentral.